Molecule: transfer RNA, 77 nt
Filed under: Planctomycetota bacterium
Lineage: Bacteria; Pseudomonadati; Planctomycetota
Description: Planctomycetes bacterium tRNA-Ile
Rfam family: tRNA
About the family: Transfer RNA (tRNA) molecules are approximately 80 nucleotides in length. Their secondary structure includes four short double-helical elements and three loops (D, anti-codon, and T loops).
Source: RNAcentral
GGGCCUAUAGCUCAGCUGGUUAGAGCGUCCGCCUGAUAAGCGGGAGGUCAGUGGUUCAAAUCCACUUAGGCCCACCA